This is a long non-coding RNA of Nasonia vitripennis (jewel wasp), 4563 nucleotides long. RefSeq lists it as uncharacterized. The transcript has 2 exons. The record is from RefSeq and is a predicted model, not a curated record. Lineage: Eukaryota; Metazoa; Arthropoda; Insecta; Hymenoptera; Pteromalidae.
AAUAAGUUCAAGCAAUCUUUAUUGUGUUAUUACUUUAAUUGACUGGUUUGAGAUUUUGGUCUAAAAUCACCGAUAACAAGCAAAAUGUGAAAUUCGUAUCUAAUGUACGCGAAGCUUCAAUUAAUGUUCGAAUGGGUUCAUUUUUACUUUAGUUUUGUUGAGCAAGGCAUUUUGCACUAUUAUUAUGUUAAUAUGUCUAUUAAUUUCUUCAAUCAGAUAGUAUGACAUGAUUGAAUAAAAAUUGAUGACUUGGUACGGUCAAGUGAAAUGAAGCACACUGCAUGCAUAUCAUAUGAACUUUGAAACUUUGGAUAUUAAUUGAAAUAUAAAAUUGUCUAGGAUUGUGGUAAUUCCCAAACACUGCUGCUUCUUUAUUCUAAACGAUAAUCUCUACUGAAGCGCGACAAGUAAUUUUAACUUAAGCGAUGCUCAUGUCACCCGAAACUGACAGUUCAGUAGAUUUUACUGAAGUCUGCAGUAGCAUUGACUGAAGGGGCGUCCUCUGUAGUUUUACCUAAGUCGCUACAGUAAAUUCAACGUUUUUUUUCUCUGUGUAGUCAUAUAUUCGUCCGUACUUGAGAAUCUUCGCAUCGUUCCUCUGCCCGAACGGAGCCGGAUCCAUUUACCUGCGCCAACACAAUAGGAUGGGAUCGGGAGAGUCAGGUAACUCAGAUAGCGCCGCAUUUAGUGUUAUAUUUACAUAAGAGGGGCCAGAAUUUUGGAAAAGGACAAGGUGGAAGGGUAUGGAAUAUUGAAAUCACUUUUCUCUCCAGUGGCAUCAUCUCGGGGAAACUGGAGCUCAUUCCAGUCCAAAAAAUCGCUUGGAGCAGUCGCCUCUCGGCUCUUUCAUUUUGUGAUCCUUGAAGGUUGAAUUUGUAAAGUUUUUCCUUUUUCUACCGAUAGUCAUAGUUGUGAAAAACUCAAAAUUUAAUUAAAAUCAGUGUCUGAAAGUUAAUCGAAGGACCUAUCCAACCACACAAAUUCGCCAAUAUCGUGGCGAGUGUUAGCGGUCGUGCCUUACACGCAAAACACGAAGCGCGAUGCAAGGCAGCAAGCAGGGCUGUGCCUAGAACCAUUUCAACAUGGCGUCGAUGGGCAAAACCAACGUACCAACCUCCGAAAAAUUCACUAGCAGCAUAGCUCACUACUCCACGCCCAGCGCGGUCGUGUCGGUGUGAGCGCUCGGCCGAGUGAUGGCCAAGCAUGCGCAGUAAAUUCGGUCGAGCUAAGGCGCGGAUAAAAAUUUUUGAAUUUUGCAGGUUAUGUGCAGUAUGGGUUGCAAAACAUGCAGAAAGAAUGACUUUCUGUUUGAUAACUGAGCUGAAUAGCUUGUUAUUUUAUUUAAAAUCACAACUGUUAAAAGACUUCGAUUAAACAUCGAGUCUGGAUAAUGCACAAGAUUUGACUCACGCAAUUUUUAGUCGAAGACAUUUUUAAAAACUCAAUUUAUAUAAAAGUGAUGUAUCGUAUAAACUUUAAACUUGACAUGCAAGUCAUUUGCACGUAAUUAAGCAUAUCUAAAAUGUUUGAACACUUAAGUUGAACCAGAAGAUCCAGUUCGUCCCAAGUAGACGCAUUUGGCGCACGUUUUUUGAAAGCAACUGGAUCUUCCAGUCAUCGCUGAUUCAUCAAACUUUAGAAAUAUGUUGAAACACAUUGCAAGGGCUUGUCUAUCAAAUUUCAAGUGUAAACCAUGUACCAAAAUUGAGAUUUGCUAUUUUUAGUCAUAAGAUUUUGAGAAAAACUGAAUUUUUUCAAAAGGGAUGCAUCGUACAAACUUUAAACUUGACAUGCAAGUCAUUUGCAUGUAAUUAAGCAUAUUUAUAAAGUUUGAACACUUAAAUUGGACCAGAAGAUCCAGUUCGUCCAUAUUACAAGUGUAAACCAUGCACCACUAUUGAAAAGAUGAAAAGUUACAUAGAAAUUCGAAAAUUAAGUUAAACAAACAUUUUUCAAACCACUGUACACGGAAAAAAAGUGAGCCUGGGGGGACACCGGCACUCGUGUGCAGAAUCAGGAAAGCUGAAUAAUGCCGAUACAGCGCAUACGCGUGCCAUUAGGGCACACAAUCAUGCCGAAUGAAAACGGUCUGAGCGACGCCGAUUCAGCACAGACCCGGUGCUGUUUUGGCACCAGUUCUUGCGCUACUUCGUUCGCAGCGCACUCUCUCCGAAGCAUGCGCGGAUAUAGUGUCACAGAGGCAUUGUUCCAUUCGGUUCGGCGUGUAGCAUCAGAGUUCUAGUUGUGGCUUAUUAUAUAUUUGUUGUAAUUUUGUUCAAAGGUGUAUCAGUGAUGCACCUUUAAAAAUAUUAUAACAAAUAUAACAAUAAGCCUCAAUUCCACAUAGUUACCAGAAAACAGCCUUUAUUGCGCCCUGGGUAAUUUAUUACCUGGCCAAGCAAGCAUUAUUUUUCCGACAUUACUGAAAAAUUGCCGAAAAUGACCGUCCCUAUCGAUUUGAAAAAGGGUACGACGACUACAAGCAAUUAAAAAUAGGGUGAAAAUCGUCUAAUAUGCGAAAAUCCGACGAAAAACCGAAAAAUCUCGUUUCAGCGGCAUUUUUGCCGAUUUUUACCCUAUUUCAAAAUCCACGUAUCUUUCGAUAGGGACAGUCAUUUUCAUCAAUUUUUUUUAAAUUCAAGAUCUCGGGCUGAGCUGUUCAGUAAUGCCGGAAAAACAAAUAUAUAAUAAGCCACAACUAGAACUCUGAUGCUACAUGCCGAACCGAGUGGAAAAAUUAAAGUUUCGAUUUCAUAAGCGGCUUGCUUAGUCACGUGCUCUCGACUUAAAAUGUGGCUAUUACGAGCCUACGACACAAUUAUUUUCCUCGGUAUUAGCGGGGCUCGUGUAAUGCCGAGAUGUGGCAAGCUGUUGUUUUGAUUGCAGUUAUUUUUGAAAUACGAGAGCCUUGGAUAGCCGCGAAAUUAUCAUACCGUUCGGCACGGAAAAACAGUGUCCGGAUAGUAUCAAGGUAACGCCAAACUCGACACAGAGCAUUAGGCCGUAUAACGCAGCAACAACUAAAGUUCUGAAUCGUAUCCUAAGCGAAGCGAAGCACACCGUACUUUCCGAACGGCUUUUAUUUCGGGACGCGCUUUAUGACUGGUCCCUUUUCUAAUUGUGGGCUCCUGGAUUUUCCUCGGCCCAGACCUUCCAUACGACCGGCCUUCCAUCAAAUAUUUUUUCUACAGAUAAUCAUGAAUUCGAUCAGUCGCCUUUAUGUGAUCAUAGAUCUCAGCUUAUUAAAUUAAUUCUUAAUCAAUAUUUUCAGAUAAGAUUGCAUCAUUAUGCUGAAUUGAAAAAUGACAAGGAAAUUCGAAUAAGAAUGAGAAAUAAUAAGCUGACUCUAUUUUAUAAUCAAUAGAAUGCGUACAGUAAAUUAUAUAAGUGUUCAUUUUCUUAUUAUGUCUUUAAUUUAUUUGUAUAUUUAAGGUUGUACAUACUGUUUUUUAUAUAAGUCUCGUAUACUAUAUGUAUUUAACACGCUUAUUUAAUUGAAUCCAAUUGUUUUUCGCCGUUUCACUUUAAAUCCAGCGAAUUCCCGCGUCGCGACGAGCUCGACGCGCGUGAGCAUGGCCGCGCAUGCGCAAUAACACGAUUAGAGAGAGACAGCAUACCUUCUAUUGCAUCUGUCUCUCUCUCAUAGGGUGCCACUUUCGCUAACCUCCACCCGCAGUCUAUUUCUAUUAUGUCUAUGAUUUUAUCCUCAUUCUAUCCUUAACAUAUAGCCCGUUUUUGUAAUUAAAAUAAUAAAUAUGUUUUAUUAUAAAAAGGAUUUGUUUUAUUAUAAAUAAUUAAUUAACUGAAUCACUGUCAAAUUCACUUUCACUAGAACUGUUGCAGUGGUCUGAAUAAUAAAUAUGAUAUGAAGCAAUGUUUUCAAUUGAAAAAUCUUCUUCCAUAUAUAAUUUUUUCUCUUGAUCUUCCGAAAAUUGACUAUAACUUUCUAGUUAUGUUCACAACAGACGCUGCACACACUUGGCUACACCAUGCGCUAUACACAUAGGCAGACGCGGGCGAGCGGCUGCUACACACGCGUGCAUGCGCGUAUACGGAUUUCGCGUUCACGAGUUACUGCCAAGUUUUAUUCGAAUUUGCGGCGAACAAUUCGUUUUCGUAACUGGCGAUCUCUUAAUUGACUGAGUAGUUCAACUAGUCAAUUUUCUACCAGGGUUCCUAUUUCAAGGCAGGAUCAAUUUCAGAUAUUUAACAAAAAUUUUGCCGAAAAUAAAAAUUUUGAAAAAUCAAUUGUAAGUACCUUUAAUCCCUAUAAGAUUAUUUUAUUGAUGUAAUUUCAUUUAUUUAUUGAUUUCAGAAAAAGUAUUUUGAGACCUUGGCAGGAAAAGAUGGAACCAAGCCGGCAAGGGGGAUUUUGCGCAGGAUAAUUACUAAUGAAUUGACCUCAAAAUACAGUUUUAAAGGCCAAGGUGAAAAUGAAAACUGUAGCAUAACGCCAUUGUAUGUAUUACUAGAAGAUGUCGCCACAAAGAAGAGUGGUUCCAAACAAAGAGAUGACGUAAGUACUGGUGUUGCCACGUGGCUAAAAAACGCUCCGUCACGGAU